ACGGCCACACUGGAACUGAGAUACGGUCCAGACUCCUACGGGAGGCAGCAGUGGGGAAUAUUGCACAAUGGAGGGAACUCUGAUGCAGCGACGCCGCGUGAGUGAAGAAGGUCUUCGGAUCGUAAAACUCUGUCCUUGGUGAAGAAAAGGACGGUAGCCAAGGAGGAAGCCCCGGCUAACUACGUGCCAGCAGCCGCGGUAAUACGUAGGGGGCGAGCGUUGUCCGGAUUUACUGGGCGUAAAGGGUGAGUAGGCGGUUAUAUAUGUCAGGUGUAAAAGAUCAUGGCUCAACCAUGGUUGGCACUUGAAACUGUAUGACUUGAGUGCAGGAGAGGUAAGCGGAAUUCCUAGUGUAGCGGUGAAAAUGCGUAGAUAUUAGGAGGAACACCAGUGGCGAAGGCGGCUUACUGGACUGUAACUGACGCUGAGACACGNAAAGCGUGGGUAGCAAACAGGAUUAGAUACCCUGGUAGUCCACGCUGUAAACGAUGAGUGCUAGGUGUUGGGUAGCGAUAUUCAGUGCCGGAGUAAACACAAUAAGCA
RNAcentral lists this ribosomal RNA (543 nucleotides) under uncultured bacterium. Its description in RNAcentral is "bacterial SSU rRNA". It matches the Rfam family "Bacterial small subunit ribosomal RNA", at positions 304 to 866 of the family's 1533-position model. The record is from RNAcentral.